CUUAUUUAUUCACACUUCUGAAUGACAAACAAUCCACUUGAUUGUUGUUCCAACAGAUUCAAGGUUCUCUGUCCCUCUUAAGUGGAAUAAAUUAAACAAACGGAAAAGUUAUGAUGACACACAAGUGGUGUGAAAGAGAAAAGUAAAGAACGCAAUAAAGAAAAAGAAAGAACAAGGAAAAGAUUGUUUUAAAAAGGGGAAGAAUGAAGGAUACAAGAGUCAGUCGCUAGAACUCAAUGAAGGAGGACACAGAGUUCACUGUCGUAGGCCACCAAUUCAUUGACCGAUCUCUGCUAGGGAGUUGCUUGAGAGCCCAUAAAGAGAUAAGAUGUCUCUGUAAGUGGCCUGGAGAAGAAGUGUUGAUCAAGCUUCUUGAGGACAAUCAGUCACCUAUUCCCAGAGAAAAAAUCGGAUGCCACAAACCAAAAACAAGAAAACUCAACUGGAGAUACUAAGGAAAGACUGCAAAAGAGAAUCUCCAUCAUCACUGUGUGUGUGUGUGUGUGUGUGUGUGUGUGUGUGUGU
RNAcentral lists this long non-coding RNA (525 nucleotides) under Androctonus crassicauda. The record is from RNAcentral. Lineage: Eukaryota; Metazoa; Arthropoda; Arachnida; Scorpiones; Buthidae.